GGUUAAGUGACUAAGCGUACACGGUGGAUGCCUGGGCAGUCAGAGGCGAUGAAGGACGUACUAACUUGCGAUAAGCGCAGAUAAGGCAGUAAGAGCCGUUUGAGUCUGCGAUUUCCGAAUGGGGAAACCCAACUGCAUAAGCAGUUACUGUUAACUGAAUACAUAGGUUAACAGAGCAAACCGGGGGAACUGAAACAUCUAAGUACCCCGAGGAGAAGAAAUCAACCGAGAUUCCGGUAGUAGCGGCGAGCGAACCUGGAUUAGCCCUUAAGCACUCGGUGAAGUAGGUGAACAAGCUGGAAAGCUUGGCGAUACAGGGUGAUAGCCCCGUAACCGACGCUUCAUCGAGCGUGAAAUCGAGUAGGGCGGGACACGUGAUAUCCUGUCUGAAUAUGGGGGGACCAUCCUCCAAGGCUAAAUACUCCUGACUGACCGAUAGUGAACCAGUACCGUGAGGGAAAGGCGAAAAGAACCCCUGUGAGGGGAGUGAAAUAGAACCUGAAACCGUGUACGUACAAGCAGUAGGAGCACCUUCGUGGUGUGACUGCGUACCUUUUGUAUAAUGGGUCAGCGACUUAUAUUCAGUGGCAAGGUUAACCGUAUAGGGGAGCCGUAGCGAAAGCGAGUCUUAACUGGGCGCUCAGUCUCUGGAUAUAGACCCGAAACCGGGUGAUCUAGCCAUGGGCAGGUUGAAGGUUGAGUAACAUCAACUGGAGGACCGAACCGACUAAUGUUGAAAAAUUAGCGGAUGACUUGUGGCUAGGGGUGAAAGGCCAAUCAAACUCGGAGAUAGCUGGUUCUCCCCGAAAGCUAUUUAGGUAGCGCCUCGGACGAAUACUACUGGGGGUAGAGCACUGUUAAGGCUAGGGGGUCAUCCCGACUUACCAACCCUUUGCAAACUCCGAAUACCAGUAAGUACUAUCCGGGAGACACACGGCGGGUGCUAACGUCCGUCGUGGAGAGGGAAACAACCCAGACCGCCAGCUAAGGUCCCAAAGUAUUGCUAAGUGGGAAACGAUGUGGGAAGGCUCAGACAGCUAGGAUGUUGGCUUAGAAGCAGCCAUCAUUUAAAGAAAGCGUAAUAGCUCACUAGUCGAGUCGGCCUGCGCGGAAGAUGUAACGGGGCUAAGCAAUACACCGAAGCUGCGGCAAUGUCUUUUAGACAUUGGGUAGGGGAGCGUUCUGUAAGCCGUUGAAGGUGAAUCGUAAGGUUUGCUGGAGGUAUCAGAAGUGCGAAUGCUGACAUGAGUAACGACAAAGGGGGUGAAAAACCUCCUCGCCGGAAGACCAAGGGUUCCUGUCCAACGUUAAUCGGGGCAGGGUGAGUCGACCCCUAAGGUGAGGCCGAAAGGCGUAAUCGAUGGGAAACGGGUUAAUAUUCCCGUACUUCUGACUAUUGCGAUGGGGGGACGGAGAA
RNAcentral lists this ribosomal RNA (1417 nucleotides) under Vibrio cholerae RC27. RNAcentral describes it as "bacterial LSU rRNA". It matches the Rfam family "Bacterial large subunit ribosomal RNA", at positions 1 to 1479 of the family's 2925-position model. Lineage: Bacteria; Pseudomonadati; Pseudomonadota; Gammaproteobacteria; Vibrionales; Vibrionaceae. The record is from RNAcentral.